AGAGUUUGAUCCUGGCUCAGAACGAACGCUGGCGGCGUGCUUAACACAUGCAAGUCGAGUGCGCGGUUGUAGCAAUACAACUGGCGCACGGCGCACGGGUGCGUAACACGUGGGUAACCUGCCCUUUGAUGGGGAAUAACCCCGCGAAAGCGGGGCUAAUACCGCAUAAGAUCCGCAAGGAUGAAAGCCGUAAGGCGUCGAAGGAGGGGCCCGCGCACGAUUAGCUAGUUGGCAGGGUAACGGCCUACCAAGGCAAUGAUCGUUAGCUGGUCUGAGAGGAUGGCCAGCCACACUGGAACUGAGACACGGUCCAGACUCCUACGGGAGGCAGCAGUGGGGAAUCUUGCACAAUGGGCGAAAGCCUGAUGCAGCGACGCCGCGUGGGGGAUGAAGCUUCUCGGAGUGUAAACCCCUUUCGACCCGGACGAAUGCCUCGCAAGAGGACUGACGGUACGGGUAUAAGAAGCCCCGGCUAACUACGUGCCAGCAGCCGCGGUAAGACGUAGGGGGCCAGCGUUGUUCGGAAUUACUGGGUGUAAAGGGUUCGUAGGCGGUGUGGCAAGUCGGGAGUGAAAUCUCUGGGCUCAACUCAGAGGCUGCUUCCGAAACUGCUGUGCUUGAGUGUGGGAGAGGCGCGUGGAAUUGCAGGUGUAGCGGUGAAAUGCGUAGAUAUCUGCAGGAACACCCGUGGCGAAAGCGGCGCGCUGGACCACUACUGACGCUGAGGAACGAAAGCUAGGGGAGCAAACAGGAUUAGAUACCCCGGUAGUCC
Molecule: ribosomal RNA, 772 nt
Filed under: uncultured bacterium
Lineage: Bacteria
Description: bacterial SSU rRNA
Rfam family: Bacterial small subunit ribosomal RNA
Source: RNAcentral